GACGAACGCUGGCGGCAUGCCUAACACAUGCAAGUCGAACGGAGAUAUUUGGAAGCUUGCUUUUGGAUAUCUUAACGGCGGACGGGCGAGUAACGCGUGAGCAACCUGGCCUUCAGAGUGGAACAACGUCUGGAAACGGGCGCUAAUACCGCAUAAUACAAGAGAGUCGCAUGGCUUUUUUGUCAAAGGAGAAAUCCGCUGAAGGAUGGGCUCGCGUCCGAUUAUCUAGAUGGGGUGGUAACGGCACACCAUGGCGACGAUCGGUAGCCGAACUGAGAGGUUGAUCGGCCGCAUUGGGACUGAGACACGGCCCAGACUCCUACGGGAGGCAGCAGUGGGGGAUAUUGGUCAAUGGGGGAAACCCUGAACCAGCAAUGCCGCGUGAGGGAAGAAGGUCUUCGGAUUGUAAACCUAAGUAGUCAGGGACGAAAGAAAUGACGGUACCUGAAGAGUAAGCUCCGGCUAACUACGUGCUAGCAGCCGCGGUAAUACGUAGGGAGCGAGCGUUGUCCGGAUUUACUGGGUGUAAAGGGUGCGUAGGCGGGAUGGCAAGUCAGAUGUGAAAUACCGGGGCUUAACUCCGGGGCUGCAUUUGAAACUGUCGUUCUUGAGUGAAGUAGAGGCAGGCGGAAUUCCUAGUGUAGCGGUGAAAUGCGUAGAUAUUAGGAGGAACACCAGUGGCGAAGGCGGCCUGCUGGGCUUUAACUGACGCUGAGGCACGAAAGCAUGGGGAGCAAACAGGAUUAGAUACCCUGGUAGUCCAUGCCGUAAACGAUGAUUGCUAGGUGUGGGGGGACUGACCCCCUCCGUGCCGGAGUAAACACAAUAAGCAAUCCACCUGGGGAGUACGACCGCAAGGUUGAAACUCAAAGGAAUUGACGGGGGCCCGCACAAGCAGUGGAGUAUGUGGUUUAAUUCGACGCAACGCGAAGAACCUUACCAGGUCUUGACAUCCAACUAACGAGGUAGAGAUACGUCAGGUGCCCUUCGGGGAAAGUUGAGACAGGUGGUGCAUGGUUGUCGUCAGCUCGUGUCGUGAGAUGUUGGGUUAAGUCCCGCAACGAGCGCAACCCUUGUGAUUAGUUGCUACGCAAGAGCACUCUAAUCAGACUGCCGUUGACAAAACGGAGGAAGGUGGGGACGACGUCAAAUCAUCAUGCCCCUUAUGACCUGGGCUACACACGUACUACAAUGGCCGUUAACAAAGGGAAGCAAAGCCGCGAGGCGGAGCAAAACCCCAAAAACGGUCCCAGUUCAGAUUGCAGGCUGCAACUCGCCUGUAUGAAGUUGGAAUUGCUAGUAAUCGCGGAUCAGCAUGCCGCGGUGAAUACGUUCCCGGGCCU
This 1343-nucleotide ribosomal RNA is filed under the name uncultured bacterium. RNAcentral describes it as "bacterial SSU rRNA". It matches the Rfam family "Bacterial small subunit ribosomal RNA", at positions 28 to 1381 of the family's 1533-position model. The record is from RNAcentral.